AUGAUUAGCACGAAGAGACUUGCUCAACUGGGAAAGAAGUGGCAAAGGGUGGCGGCACUUGGGAGGAAGAGGCUCACAGUGACAGCCAAAGAAGAUGAAGAAUGCUGCACCUCUGGAGUGGUAAAGGGCCACUGCAUCACGUACACGGCCGACGGAAGCCGUUUCGAGGUCCCGUUGGUGUACCUCAGCACGAUGGUCUUCGGAGAGCUCCUAAGAGUGUCCCAGGAAGAGUUUGGUUUCGCAAGCAAAGGAAAGAUCACACUGCCUUGUGAUGCCGCAGUGAUGGAGUAUGUCAUGUGCUUGCUCAGCAGAGAUGCCUCUGCCGAGGUCAAGAAGGCAUUGCUGAGUUCUAUGGUGAUAUCUUGCCACUACACUGUUUCUGUGAUGCCAACUGUUGGAGACAGCCAGAAAAUUUGCUGUUCGUAA
RNAcentral lists this ribosomal RNA (426 nucleotides) under Triticum aestivum (bread wheat). RNAcentral's name for it is "partial small subunit ribosomal RNA". The record is from RNAcentral. Lineage: Eukaryota; Viridiplantae; Streptophyta; Magnoliopsida; Poales; Poaceae.